UACGAAGGGGGCUAGCGUUGCUCGGAAUCACUGGGCUUAAAGGGCGCGUAGGCGGCUUGCCAAGUCAGGGGUGAAAUCCUGCAGCUUAACUGUAGAAGGGCCUUUGAUACUGGCGAGCUCGAGGGAGGUAGGGGUAUGUGGAACUUCCGGUGGAGCGGUGAAAUGCAUUGAGAUCGGAAAGAACACCAACGGCGAAAGCACUCUGCUGGGCCGACACUGACACUGAGAGACGAAAGCUAGGGGAGCAAAUGGG
RNAcentral lists this ribosomal RNA (253 nucleotides) under uncultured bacterium. Its description in RNAcentral is "partial 16S ribosomal RNA". It matches the Rfam family "Bacterial small subunit ribosomal RNA", at positions 524 to 776 of the family's 1533-position model. The record is from RNAcentral.